UACGUAGGGAGCAAGCGUUGUCCGGAAUCAUUGGGCGUAAAGCGCGCGUAGGCGGCCCUGUAAGUCCGCUGUGAAAGUCAAAGGCUCAACCUUUGAAAGCCGGUGGAUACUGCAGGGCUAGAGUCCGGAAGAGGCGAGUGGAAUUCCUGGUGUAACGGUGGAAUGCGCAGAUAUCAGGAGGAACACCAAUAGCGAAGGCAGCUCGCUGGGACGGUACUGACGCUAAGGCGCGAGAGCGUGGGGAGCGAACAGG
RNAcentral lists this ribosomal RNA (253 nucleotides) under uncultured bacterium. Its description in RNAcentral is "partial 16S ribosomal RNA". It matches the Rfam family "Bacterial small subunit ribosomal RNA", at positions 524 to 776 of the family's 1533-position model. The record is from RNAcentral.